UCCGGGGUAGCUCAGCUGGCAGAGCAAUCGGCUGUUAACCGAUUUGUCGUGGGUUCGAGCCCCACCCCCGGAG
RNAcentral lists this transfer RNA (73 nucleotides) under Ilumatobacter sp. RNAcentral describes it as "tRNA-Asn". It matches the Rfam family "tRNA". From Rfam's summary of the family: Transfer RNA (tRNA) molecules are approximately 80 nucleotides in length. Lineage: Bacteria; Bacillati; Actinomycetota; Acidimicrobiia; Acidimicrobiales; Ilumatobacteraceae. The record is from RNAcentral.